GGGGGGGGCAAGCGUUGUUCGGAAUUACUGGGCGUAAAGGGCUCGUAGGCGGCCAACUAAGUCGGAUGUGAAAUCCCCAGGCUCAACCUGGGAACUGCAUCCGAUACUGGAUGGCUUGAAUCCGGGAGAGGGAUGCAGAAUUCCAGGUGUAGCGGUGAAAUGCGUAGAUAUCUGGAGGAAUACCGGUGGCGAAGGCGGCAUCCUGGACCGGCAUUGACGCUGAUGAGCGAAAGCCAGGGGAGCAAACGGGAUUAGAUACCCCGGUAGUCCUGGCCCUAAACGAUGAAUGCUUGGUGUGACGGGUAUCGAUCCCUGUCGUGCCGAAGCUAACGCAUUAAGCAUUCCGCCUGGGGAGUACGGUCGCAAGGCUGAA
RNAcentral lists this ribosomal RNA (373 nucleotides) under uncultured bacterium. RNAcentral describes it as "bacterial SSU rRNA". It matches the Rfam family "Bacterial small subunit ribosomal RNA", at positions 527 to 898 of the family's 1533-position model. The record is from RNAcentral.